GACGUAGGGUCCGAGCGUUGUCCGGAGUUACUGGGCGUAAGGGCGCGUAGGCGGUUCCAUGCGUCCCACGUGAAAGCCCCUGGCUCAACCAGGGAGGGUCGUGGGAAACGGGGGAACUGGAGGCAGAGAGAGGCUGGUGGAAUUCCCGGAGUAGUGGUGAAAUGCGUAGAUAUCGGGAGGAACACCGGUGGCGAAGGCGGCCAGCUGGCUCUGACCUGACGAUCAGGCACGAAAGCGUGGGGAGCAAACAGG
This 252-nucleotide ribosomal RNA is filed under the name uncultured bacterium. RNAcentral describes it as "partial 16S ribosomal RNA". It matches the Rfam family "Bacterial small subunit ribosomal RNA", at positions 524 to 776 of the family's 1533-position model. The record is from RNAcentral.